UACGUAGGCGGCAUAGUUAGUCGAAUGUUAAAGCACCGGGCUCAACCCGGGACAGGCAUUCGAAACGGCUAAGCUAGAGGAUGUGAGAGGUGAGUGGAACUCAUGGUGUAGGGGUGAAAUCCGUUGAUAUCAUGGGGAACACCAAAAGCGAAGGCAACUCACUGGCACAUUCCUGACGCUGAGGUACGAAAGCGUGGGUAGCGAAUG
This 207-nucleotide ribosomal RNA is filed under the name uncultured bacterium. RNAcentral describes it as "partial 16S ribosomal RNA". It matches the Rfam family "Bacterial small subunit ribosomal RNA", at positions 568 to 774 of the family's 1533-position model. The record is from RNAcentral.